GGGCUCACACAAGCGGUGGAGCAUGUGGCUCAAUUCGAAGCAACGCGAAGAACCUUAUCCUGGACUUGACAUGGUUGAAGUAAGAAGCUGAAAGGCGGAUGACCGGUAUCCAAUCCGGAACAAUCACAGGUGCUGCAUGGCUGUCGUCAGCUCGUGCUGUGAAGUGUCGGGUUAAGUCCCAUAACGAGCGAAACCCUUAUUGUUAGUUGCCAGCGGGUCAAGCCGGGCACUCUAACAAGACUGCCGGUGUUAAACCGGAGGAAGGUGGGGAUGACGUCAAGUCCUCAUGGCCUUUAUGUCCAGGGCUGCACACGUGCUACAAUGCCGAUGACAAACCGAAGCGAGACCGUAAGGUGGAGCAAAUCGGAGAAAAAUCGGCCCAGUUCAGAUUGAGGGCUGCAACUCGCCCUCAUGAAGUUGGAAUCGCUAGUAAUCGCGGAUCAGCUAUGCCGCGGUGAAUGUGUUCCUGAGCCUU
RNAcentral lists this ribosomal RNA (475 nucleotides) under uncultured bacterium. RNAcentral describes it as "bacterial SSU rRNA". It matches the Rfam family "Bacterial small subunit ribosomal RNA", at positions 917 to 1382 of the family's 1533-position model. The record is from RNAcentral.